GGAGCUUCCCCCCUGGGCCGCGGAGCCGGCCGCUGGAGCUCCACCCAGCCCCAGUCCUCUCCCAGGAAUUCUCCAGUAGUCCUGAGCCCCGCCCAUCAGUCAGUGGGGCCGGCAGCGGCAACUGGCGGGCAGCCGCGCCAUCUGGGAUUCUCUCCAGGACCCUCCCGGCACCGUGGUAGCUAGGUGGGGCCUCCCCACCAAUGGCAGGCAGAGGCUCUCCCCGCGGACUCAGAACACAGCAAAGAUGAAACAAUCCUCAUCUUUUUCUAAACUGUGAACAUAAACCUGAUCCCACAUUGGAAAAAAUCAACAGCAUAAAGAGGAAAACGUAUAGGUUAAUCUCACUCAUAAACAAAGAAGCAAAAUCUCCGUUAAAAUGUUAGCAGAUUAAACUGUUCUUACAGAGCAGUAGGUCCGGACCAAGAAGGGUUUGUCCAAGCCGUUCAAGGAUAGUUCAACAAAAGGAAAUCUGUUAACAUUAUUCAGCAUGUUACUAAGGUGGAAACAAACAAAAUAACCUUGUAAUCUCCUGAAUGGAUGGCUGAAAACACACUUGAGAAGCUGUAGAACUCUUCCCCAGGAGCAACUGCUGAGUGCGGACCUUGAAAAGUCUGCUUUUUCAUAGGCAGCCAAACUGCAGUCACGAGGAGAUGGAGCUCCCACUGUGGCAGAGAGAAGGGACCUUAGAACUUUAUGACACUGGAGAGUCCCUGAGUCAACCACUUCUGAAGCUGUCUUCGCUUGGACCUCCAGUUACGUAUUUUACUUGUUUUUAAGCGGGGCUGGGUUGGGCUUUCUCUUAUGUGCACUGUGAAGCUCCUGAGUGAUACAGAAUGACAAUUAUUCUCUGUAAUUUCCUGUGCAAGACUUUUACUUCCCUUUCUGUGGAUGCCCCCUCACUUACGAUCUUAAAGUCACAAAUCUCUCAAACUAUUUCUUGCUUUGAAUGGCUGCUUUUACAUAGUGUCUUUAAG
RNAcentral lists this long non-coding RNA (974 nucleotides) under Equus caballus (horse). RNAcentral's name for it is "lncRNA (ENSECAG00000047694.1)". Lineage: Eukaryota; Metazoa; Chordata; Mammalia; Perissodactyla; Equidae. The record is from RNAcentral.